GAUGAACGCUGGCGGCGUGCCUAAUACAUGCAAGUCGAGCGAACAGACGAGGAGCUUGCUCCUCUGACGUUAGCGGCGGACGGGUGAGUAACACGUGGAUAACCUACCUAUCAGACUGGGAUAACUUCGGGAAACCGGAGCUAAUACCGGAUAAUAUAUUGAACCGCAUGGUUCAAUAGUGAAAGACGGUUUUGCUGUCACUUAUAGAUGGAUCCGCGCCGCAUUAGCUAGUUGGUAAGGUAACGGCUUACCAAGGCAACGAUGCGUAGCCGACCUGAGAGGGUGAUCGGCCACACUGGAACUGAGACACGGUCCAGACUCCUACGGGAGGCAGCAGUAGGGAAUCUUCCGCAAGGGGCGAAAGCCUGACGGAGCAACGCCGCGUGAGUGAUGAAGGUCUUCGGAUCGUAAAACUCUGUUAUUAGGGAAGAACAAAUGUGUAAGUAACUAUGCACGUCUUGACGGUACCUAAUCAGAGAGCCACGGCUAACUACGUG
This 497-nucleotide ribosomal RNA is filed under the name uncultured bacterium. RNAcentral's name for it is "partial 16S ribosomal RNA". It matches the Rfam family "Bacterial small subunit ribosomal RNA", at positions 28 to 507 of the family's 1533-position model. The record is from RNAcentral.